This is a long non-coding RNA of Miniopterus natalensis, 218 nucleotides long. RefSeq lists it as uncharacterized. The record is from RefSeq and is a predicted model, not a curated record. NCBI's taxonomy places the organism in Eukaryota, Metazoa, Chordata, Mammalia, Chiroptera, Miniopteridae.
ACCUGUCUCCGGCCUGCCUCUCCUCUAGAGACCCGUCCUCCUGCGCAAGGGAAACGCUAUUGUAACAACGGUGCGGUCUGCAAAAGCUGUCAUUACCACUUUCUGCAAAAUGUUUUCCUGCCAAAAAAUAAACAAAUUGGAAAAGCUUAGACGGUGCACUCACUGUGGCCAUGUCGAUGGAAGCCGUGGCUUCGUCCAUGAUGAGGAUGCUGCUCUUG